GAGGAUGUAGCUCCAGUGGUAGAGUGUGUGCUUAGCAUGCACAAGGUCCUGGGUUCAAUUCUCAGUACCUCCU
Molecule: transfer RNA, 73 nt
Filed under: Camelus bactrianus (Bactrian camel)
Lineage: Eukaryota; Metazoa; Chordata; Mammalia; Artiodactyla; Camelidae
Also listed under: 2 other names
Rfam family: tRNA
About the family: Transfer RNA (tRNA) molecules are approximately 80 nucleotides in length. Their secondary structure includes four short double-helical elements and three loops (D, anti-codon, and T loops). Further hydrogen bonds mediate the characteristic L-shaped molecular structure. tRNAs have two regions of fundamental functional importance: the anti-codon, which is responsible for specific mRNA codon recognition, and the 3' end, to which the tRNAs corresponding amino acid is attached (by aminoacyl-tRNA synthetases). tRNAs cope with the degeneracy of the genetic code in two manners: having more than one tRNA (with a specific anti-codon) for a particular amino acid; and 'wobble' base-pairing, i.e. permitting non-standard base-pairing at the 3rd anti-codon position.
Source: Rfam by way of RNAcentral